ACGGAAGGUCCGGGCGUUAUCCGGAUUUAUUGGGUUUAAAGGGAGCGUAGGCCGUCUUAUAAGCGUGUUGUGAAAUGUCGGGGCUCAACCUGGGCAUUGCAGCGCGAACUGUGAGACUUGAGUGCGCAGGAAGUAGGCGGAAUUCGUCGUGUAGCGGUGAAAUGCUUAGAUAUGACGAAGAACUCCGAUUGCGAAGGCAGCCUGCUGUAGCGCAACUGACGCUGAAGCUCGAAAGCGUGGGUAUCGAACAG
This 251-nucleotide ribosomal RNA is filed under the name uncultured bacterium. RNAcentral describes it as "partial 16S ribosomal RNA". It matches the Rfam family "Bacterial small subunit ribosomal RNA", at positions 525 to 775 of the family's 1533-position model. The record is from RNAcentral.